CGACCCGGCCCGUGGAGCCGGCGCGGGCGGGCUGCUGAGGUGGCUGUCGCCGGCUCCGAGCUGCGGCUUCCCGGGCCGAGCCCCCGAUGGAGGCCGAGGCCGCGGACGCUCCCCCGGGUGGGGUCGAGUCGGCGCUCAGCUGCUUCUCUUUCAACCAGGACUGCACGUCCCUAGCAAUUGGAACUAAAGCCGGGUAUAAGCUGUUUUCUCUGAGUUCUGUGGAGCAGCUGGAUCAAGUCCACGGAAGCAAUGAAAUCCCGGACGUCUACAUCGUGGAGCGCCUCUUCUCCAGCAGCCUGGUGGUGGUAGUCAGUCACACAAAACCACGGCAAAUGAACGUGUAUCACUUCAAGAAAGGCACAGAGAUCUGUAAUUACAGCUACUCCAGCAACAUCUUGUCCAUAAGGCUGAACCGGCAGAGGCUGCUGGUUUGCCUAGAAGAGUCCAUUUAUAUUCACAACAUUAAAGACAUGAAGCUGUUGAAGACCCUCCUGGAUAUUCCUGCAAACCCAACAGGUCUAUGUGCUCUCUCUAUCAACCAUUCCAAUUCUUACUUGGCCUAUCCUGGAAGCCUGACUUCAGGGGAGAUUGUGCUUUAUGAUGGAAACUCCCUGAAAACAGUCUGCACUAUUGCUGCCCACGAGGGGACACUGGCUGCCAUCACCUUCAAUGCCUCGGGCUCCAAACUAGCAAGUGCGUCUGAAAAAGGCACAGUCAUCCGGGUGUUCUCUGUCCCUGACGGGCAAAAGCUCUAUGAGUUCCGGAGAGGGAUGAAAAGGUAUGUGACAAUCAGCUCUCUAGUGUUCAGUAUGGACUCACAAUUCCUCUGCGCCUCCAGUAACACCGAGACGGUACACAUCUUCAAGCUGGAGCAGGUCACCAACAGUCGACCAGAAGAGACUUCGACCUGGAGUGGCUACAUGGGAAAGAUGUUCAUGGCUGCUACCAACUACCUCCCAACCCAGGUGUCCGACAUGAUGCAUCAGGACCGGGCCUUUGCCACCGCACGCUUGAACUUCUCCGGGCAGAGGAACAUCUGUACCCUCUCAACGAUCCAGAAGUUGCCACGGCUGCUAGUUGCAUCAUCCAAUGGACACCUUUAUAUCUACAAUUUGGAUCCUCAGGAUGGAGGAGAGUGUGUCUUAAUCAAAACCCACAGCUUGCUUGGCUCAGGAACAACAGAAGAGAAUAAAGAAAACGACCUCAGACCUUCCUUACCUCAGUCUUAUGCAGCAACCGUAGCCAGACCAAGUGCAUCUUCAGCCUCCACAGUGCCAGGUUAUUCCGAGGACGGCGGGGCGCUGCGAGGAGAAGUUAUUCCUGAACAUGAGUUUGCGACGGGACCAGUGUGUCUUGAUGAUGAGAAUGAGUUUCCUCCUGUGAGCAUCAGGAACCCGUAACCGGGCGGCUCAGUCUGUGUGCUUAGAAGGAAACCUUCGCCUCAUACGAGAGGCGGAGUCCCUUUCCCUGUUUUCUAGUCUGUACCAACUAAUUCUCUGCUCUGGUAUUUGGAAAGCCCUAGGAUAGUUGUUGUACUGUGUGCUUUGAAUCCUACAGAGUAGCCUUUAGGUGUCGAGCUAAACCCUGAUGGCAUCAGAGUCACUAAUCCAGGGAGUCUUGGUGACCUCCCUCCAGCCAGAGGCCUGGAAUCUCUUAUUUUGCUCCUGUGGCAUUGACUUUGCUGCCUAGAAGAUAAUCUUGUGCCGUGGAAAUCAGAAGGGCAAAACGAAGCAGUCAUGAUGAGAAGCACACCUCAGAAAUCAGGACAUCCCCCUAUCAGGUGGUUUUGGAGAAAACAAGGAAGGUGGAAGAAUGGAGUGCAAUUGUGUGAGCAGAAAGGGGGGCAGGAAUCCCGGGUGCUGCACUGCUUAAACCACAGGACCUGGUUAACUCCUCACCAAGCUUCCCACGACCCUGGUUGCCAGUGGGCGUGGGAGACAUUGUAUACACAUUAUGCUAUUUAAAAUAUGUUCAAACCAUAGUGUAAAUGCUAAUUAACCAUAUUGGUAUAUAACCAGAAUUUUAUAUUAAAAGGGGCCUCCUUUUUAAAUAUAUGCUGUGUAAAAAAUGUACUUAUAGGAACAUCUCUUUGAAUUGUAUUUCUUGUAUAUUACAUACUUAGAGAAACUAUUUUAGCCAGGCAAAGUCUUUUUUGGCUGUGACUGGAAUAAAUCAUUUAUUACUGGGAGUCCCAUUUUGGACACUAAUAAUAAAAUCAUGGCAAUGCA
This is an RNA transcript of Cercocebus atys (sooty mangabey), 2228 nucleotides long. It is a transcript of the gene named WD repeat domain, phosphoinositide interacting 1, with no coding region annotated. Lineage: Eukaryota; Metazoa; Chordata; Mammalia; Primates; Cercopithecidae. The record is from RefSeq and is a predicted model, not a curated record. The transcript has 13 exons.